CCCCCCUCCCGAGCGAACGGCACCCUCUACGAGCUUUUCCCGCAUCCCGCGUCGCCGCCAAGCUCGGACCAAGCGAAGGGGGCGUCGGCGGUUACCGAAGGCUUCCACCACCGGCUUCUCCGAGAGGGCGGGUCCGUUCAACAUCGUGUGGCCCUUCAACAUAGGCGGCAGCCGUGACUCCGAUGCCAGCCUCUGCAGCAGCCGAUCGUCCUUCGUCGGCGGCUACCCCUCCUUCGCCACCUCCGCUCUCCUCACCAACCGUUCCUCGCAAUCCACCACCGCCCUCCGAUCCGUGAACGCCUACCUCUCCUCCCUCUUCGCAUCAACCUCCCUCUGUCCCCUACUCCCCUCCAGCUGCGAGAUCACCAACGCCUUCCACUUCGUCCUCGCUACGGGCCAUAGGAAAUAAUUUCUCCAUUCCCUAGCCCUAGGUCAAAGUAAGUUGGUCCUAUAGCCAGUGGCCGAACAGCCUUUUUUUUUUCCUUCCUUUCUUCUUCUUCCCUUUUGUUUUUUUUAACGGCUUUCUACUUCUUCCUCUCUUUUUUUUUAACGGUCAGCGCCAUUCCCCCAGGACCCCAGAAAGCUUCUAAAACAUCAAACACGGAGGGAGGGAGGAGAGAG
RNAcentral lists this long non-coding RNA (621 nucleotides) under Phoenix dactylifera (date palm). Its description in RNAcentral is "long non-coding RNA (PDAC_LNC005388)". Lineage: Eukaryota; Viridiplantae; Streptophyta; Magnoliopsida; Arecales; Arecaceae. The record is from RNAcentral.